This 1695-nucleotide long non-coding RNA is filed under the name Chloebia gouldiae (Gouldian finch). RNAcentral's name for it is "Erythrura gouldiae (Gouldian finch) lncRNA (ENSEGOG00005003004.1)". Lineage: Eukaryota; Metazoa; Chordata; Aves; Passeriformes; Passeridae. The record is from RNAcentral.
CUCGUUUGUUUUGGGUUGGUUUGUUUGUUUGCUGUGUGGCCUCCCCUUUAUGUUGAUCAGGCCGGCUCUGGGUUUAAUUGAUCUGCGAGGCGGGCAGCCGAGACCAUCAAGGGAAACUUCAGCCCUUGCAGGCUGCGGAGAGAAUAAGGAUGGUAUCGGUGAAACCGGCGUGAAAGGCAGACACAGCCCCCCGCCUUCCCCCGCGCGUGUUCACACGCAGGUGGGGACGCGGCUUCCCCGGAGGAGCUGGGGAUGCCCGGCGGAAGCUGCAGGGCUGGACCCCGCCCGGGACACCCCUGGGGCCCGGGAGGAGGGUGUUUGGAGAAGCCCCGGGCCCUCUCCCGGUCACCAGGAGGAUACCUAGCUGGUACCAGCUCCGGGGUGACUCUGCAAUGGCUCAGCAGUGACUCCGCAGACGGGAUAUGCCUGCUCCAGAAGGGGCAGGGCGAACAUAUGGAGAAGAGUGGCUAAAUUCACCCCCAGAGGCUGAUUUCCUCUCUGUUCCCGAGGAUAGAAAGGGUGAAGACCUGAAUCACUGUCAGGGUGCUGACAGCCUGAGAAAGAAAAGGAGAAUCGAUGCAGUUUUCCGUGAAACAAGGCAGAAAAGGGGGUGUGAGAGAACCAGUAUUGCACAUGGAAAACAUUGCUGGAGAGCCUAUGACAAAAAAAGUGAUGACAGGUUCUUGCAAAAUAUGACAGUUCAAACUACAAAUGGUUCCUUAAACUGGAAAAGCACUCCCUCUGUACCCAUUCUGACCCAGACAUUUUCAGGCUACAAAUACUCUACUGGCACAAGAGGCUCCUACAACCUUACCAAUGUAUCUCUGGGCCAUCUUAGCCAAGAGCCAACAUACAUUGGGGAAAUGAAGAGCAGAACCAGCUACAGCCCCUGGCAAAGCAAGCAGUUUUCUAGAGCAGCAGGCAACCAGACAUGGCCAAAUGACCAUGAGCUCCAGUGCCUCUAUUCCCUUUGCCAAAGCUCUAGAAAACCAGGCCAGAAGCUAAGGAGCCUCCUGUGGAAAAAGGGAAGAUAUCUUUGGCCCUCAAACAGGCACAUUUCCACCAAAACUGUAGAGACACCAAAGCAGAAUCUCCUCCCCAGUAUUUCCUAUUGCAGAAGACACCUGGACAAUAUCCUUAUUUAUAGGGCAGUGUGUCAAGUUUUGGUUCUUUUUGCUGCAUAGCUGAGAAGCUUUCAGCCAGCUCUGCUAAACACAUCAAGACAAAACAGUCCAUCACAUAACAGAUGCAAAUUGAUCAUUCAAACAAAGGAAAAGUUUGUUUCCAGUGGGGAAGGACGGAAUUCAGACACAUCUCCAAAAGACUAAAACAAUAACUGGGAGAGGCAAUCUCCCUGGUUCACUGAUUCUGCUAACUAAACCAUAACUGGGUCUAACCUGGAAAAUCUAGCAAGAGAUUUGAGCAACAAAGGUUGCCUUCUCCUCUCGUGAUCCUUCUGGCAGGUGGGAAUGGAGGAAGAGAUUAGAGUGGAACAGGAUUUGGGGAAUGCAGUCACAGGAAGAAGAGGCAUGAAGAUGAAAGGAGACAAGAGGGAAAAGUGACAGAAACAGAAAGCAAGCAAAGAUGAAGGGCAAAAAGUUAGCAUUCUCACACAGAGGAAGAUGCCUCACAGCAGGAGAGAGAGAAACCUUUGUUGGGAAAGAUCCCAAAAUAAAUGAAUACCUAAGACAGACA